Molecule: long non-coding RNA, 632 nt
Filed under: Anas platyrhynchos platyrhynchos (common mallard)
Lineage: Eukaryota; Metazoa; Chordata; Aves; Anseriformes; Anatidae
Description: lncRNA (ENSAPLG00000024270.1)
Source: RNAcentral
GUCCUCUGGAUGCUGCUGGAGUCUGACUUCUAGUAGGCAGAUGGUGUUUGGAUACCUACCUCAGAUGAGAGUAGGGCACAGCAGGGAUUAGUAGAGAUAACAGCUAAAGCCAAACAGCACUGCACACUACUUAAACCUGUGCACACAGACACACUGUAGCAUGGCCUUUUCCAUGCCUUGCAGUGUCAGCUCUGUUGGUCUGGGCUGGAUCUCUGCAGCCACAAAUGACAUCUGCAUCUUCUAGCAGUUCAAGGGGGCAUGGCAUUCAUAUCAGCAAAGAGAUGCCUCACAGAGAGACCCUGGUGGACUAGAGGGCUGGACAAUCACCACUGUAUGAAGUUUAACAAGAGCUGGAUUCUACACCCGGGAAGGGGCAACCCUGGCUAUACAUAAAGACUGGGGGAUGUGAGGCUGGAGAGUAUACAUUAUAAUAAUAAUAAUUAUUAGAGAGUAUACAAGAGAUAGCUACAAAGAUAGUGAAGGGUCUGGAGGACAAGACAUGUGAGGAGCAGCUGAGGUCCCUUGGUUUGCUCAGCCCAGAGCAGAGCAGGCUGAGGGGAGGCCUCAUGGCGGCCUGCAGCUUCCUCAUGAGGGGAGCGGAGGGGCAGGUGCUGAGCUCUGCUCUCUGGGGA